Molecule: long non-coding RNA, 961 nt
Filed under: Homo sapiens (human)
Lineage: Eukaryota; Metazoa; Chordata; Mammalia; Primates; Hominidae
Description: prostate cancer associated transcript 1
Source: RNAcentral
ACUCUCAGCUGCUCUGUAAUGCAAGUCGACAGGAAAAUCUACAAGGGCUUCACGGUCUUCUUUCUAGAAAAAUCCCAACAAGGGUUUGAUAGUAAAAAGUACUUCGUAGUCAUUUUCAAAUAGGGGAGAAUUUCCUGAAGUAUGCAGCAUCUGCUCUGCCGGGUUUGCAAUCUGUGCACAGGUAUUGCAGUUAAUGAGCCACCGGCUUGCCGCUUCCAGGGCCAGGCUGGAGCAGUCAGCUGGUGGAAUGAUGGGAACUGCAAUCGGCAGCUCUGCACCAACGUGCCCCGGGUUGGAAAAUGUGAUUUGUGACAGAGAAGCUUGGGAAUAAUAAUGAAAACAUAAUUGCUCCAGAAGAGGCAGAGGAUGUUGACACAAACUUACAGACUGGGACUCCAAGGAUCAGCCAGAUGAAAUGCUAUGUGCAGAGUCUUCAUUUCCCAGCUCAGUGGUGGACAGCAGAGGACUCUAAGAAUCACCUCAUAAAUGAACUACCUUGACAUGCCCUGACCCAGGCUCUUUAUUUGGAAACCCAGGCUAGGACAGGAAUGAAGAGAAGCCAGACCUUCUGACUCGAAGAUCCAGCCACCUCUUGGGAUGCACACGUUUCUCUUCAACUGCGUGAUGUGAACUGCGUCACAUGGUCAAAUUAUAAUGAAGAAAGGAACCUCUCUUGAGUACAAAGAGCUACCUAUGGUGGUCUGGAGCCGGAGGACCACAGCAUCAAAGGAUAUAAGAUGCAUAGCCAACUGAGGAACCUGAGCAAUUAAAGAGAUCCACAGUUAAGUCACACUUAACUGGCACUUGUGGAAGCCCCGCAAGGCCUGAAGGAGAGCUGACAUAGGCACCCCAGAGAGCCAGAAUCUGGAUCCCAUCUUAAUAAGGCCAUGAACACCAGUGGAGAAGAGGCAGAAACACCAAUGGAUAAGGAACAUUCACAUCUUUCUUCCCAUGUGCCUCU